RNAcentral lists this ribosomal RNA (440 nucleotides) under uncultured bacterium. RNAcentral's name for it is "partial 16S ribosomal RNA". It matches the Rfam family "Bacterial small subunit ribosomal RNA", at positions 338 to 795 of the family's 1533-position model. The record is from RNAcentral.
CCUACGGGAGGCAGCAGUGGGGAAUUAUGCACAAUGGGGGAAACCCUGAUGCAGCGAUGCCGCGUGAGUGAAGAAGGAUUUCGGUAUGUAACGCUCUAUCAAAGGGGAAGAAGAUCAGGGUGACUGAUUAAGCAGCCCCUGCUAAAUACGUGCGAGCAGUCGCGGGCAAACGGAGGGGGCAAGCGUUAGCCGGAUUUAAUGGGUGGAAAGGGAGCGUAGACGGGAGCGCGAGGCUGAAGGGAAAUGCCGGCGCGUAACCCCGUAACUGCGUUGGAAACUGGGCGGCUAGAGGGCAGGAGAGGGAAGUGGAAGUCCAAGGGUAGCGGUGAAAUGCGUAGAUAUUAGGAGGAACACCAGUGGCGAAGGCGGCUGACUGGACUGUAACGGACGUUGAGGCUCGAAAGCGUGGGGAGCAAACAGGAUUAGAUACCCCUGUAGUC